RNAcentral lists this ribosomal RNA (211 nucleotides) under uncultured bacterium. RNAcentral's name for it is "partial 16S ribosomal RNA". It matches the Rfam family "Bacterial small subunit ribosomal RNA", at positions 524 to 727 of the family's 1533-position model. The record is from RNAcentral.
UACAGAGGGUGCGAGCGUUGUCCGGAAUCACUGGGCGUAAAGGGCGCGUAGGUGGCGGCCCAAGUCCGUGGUGAAAGCUCGCCGCUUAACGGGCGAGUCGGCCACGGAGACUGGGGUGGCUCGAGCACUGUAGGGGCAGUAGUGGAAUUCCGGGGUUCGUAGCGGUGAAAUGCGCAGAUAUCGGGAGGAACACCGGUGGCGAAGGCGGUUC